Molecule: non-coding RNA, 30 nt
Filed under: Rattus norvegicus (Norway rat)
Lineage: Eukaryota; Metazoa; Chordata; Mammalia; Rodentia; Muridae
Source: RNAcentral
UGCUAAUAUUGCUACAUGAUUUUUAAAAGC